AAAUAAGAAACAAUGUAUUGUAUUUAGUUUCGACCUAAAAAUUAGGUGAAGUCACCCUUAUUUA
This 64-nucleotide transfer RNA is filed under the name Staphylinidae sp. BMNH 1274634. Its description in RNAcentral is "tRNA-Arg". The record is from RNAcentral. Lineage: Eukaryota; Metazoa; Arthropoda; Insecta; Coleoptera; Staphylinidae.